GCUGGGUUGGCACAGCGGCGACUGCACCGCUUUUGUAAGGCGGAAUAUAAACAACGGGGGUUCGAGUCCCUCACCCAGCACCA
RNAcentral lists this transfer RNA (83 nucleotides) under bacterium. RNAcentral's name for it is "tRNA-Thr". It matches the Rfam family "tRNA". From Rfam's summary of the family: Transfer RNA (tRNA) molecules are approximately 80 nucleotides in length. Their secondary structure includes four short double-helical elements and three loops (D, anti-codon, and T loops). The record is from RNAcentral.